UACGAAGGGGGCGAGCGUUGUUCGGAAUUACUGGGCGUAAAGGGCGCGCAGGCGGUCCUUCAAGUCAGAUGUGAAAGCCCCGGGCUCAACCUGGGAACAGCAUUUGAGACUGGAGGACUUGAGGACGGGAGAGGAGAGUGGAAUUCCCAGUGUAGAGGUGAAAUUCGUAGAUAUUGGGAAGAACACCAAUGGCGAAGGCGGGUCUCUGGACAGUUCCUGACACUGAGGCACGAAGGCUAGGGGAGCAAACGGG
This 253-nucleotide ribosomal RNA is filed under the name uncultured bacterium. RNAcentral describes it as "partial 16S ribosomal RNA". It matches the Rfam family "Bacterial small subunit ribosomal RNA", at positions 524 to 776 of the family's 1533-position model. The record is from RNAcentral.